AACGAACGCUGGCGGCAUGCCUAACACAUGCAAGUCGAACGAGACCUUCGGGUCUAGUGGCGCACGGGUGCGUAACGCGUGGGAACCUGCCCUUAGGUUCGGAAUAACUCCCCGAAAGGGGUGCUAAUACCGGAUAAUGUCUUCGGACCAAAGAUUUAUCGCCUUUGGAUGGGCCCGCGUUGGAUUAGCUAGUUGGUAGGGUAAAAGCCUACCAAGGCGACGAUCCAUAGCUGGUCUGAGAGGAUGAUCAGCCACACUGGGACUGAGACACGGCCCAGACUCCUACGGGAGGCAGCAGUGGGGAAUAUUGGACGAGGGGCGAAAGCCUGAUCAAGCAAUGCCGCGUGAGUGAUGAAGGCCUUAGGGUUGUAAAGCUCUUUUACCCGGGAUGAUAAUGACAGUACCGGGAGAAUAAGCUCCGGCUAACUCCGUG
Molecule: ribosomal RNA, 433 nt
Filed under: uncultured bacterium
Lineage: Bacteria
Description: partial 16S ribosomal RNA
Rfam family: Bacterial small subunit ribosomal RNA
Source: RNAcentral